AGAAACUUAGGAUAACCCAAAAACCGAAGGCCUUCAAAGCCUUAAAUAAGAGUUGAACCCUCUUAGUUUCUG
RNAcentral lists this transfer RNA (72 nucleotides) under Calliphlox amethystina. RNAcentral's name for it is "tRNA-Trp". It matches the Rfam family "tRNA". Rfam says of the family: Transfer RNA (tRNA) molecules are approximately 80 nucleotides in length. Their secondary structure includes four short double-helical elements and three loops (D, anti-codon, and T loops). Further hydrogen bonds mediate the characteristic L-shaped molecular structure. tRNAs have two regions of fundamental functional importance: the anti-codon, which is responsible for specific mRNA codon recognition, and the 3' end, to which the tRNAs corresponding amino acid is attached (by aminoacyl-tRNA synthetases). tRNAs cope with the degeneracy of the genetic code in two manners: having more than one tRNA (with a specific anti-codon) for a particular amino acid; and 'wobble' base-pairing, i.e. permitting non-standard base-pairing at the 3rd anti-codon position. The record is from RNAcentral. Lineage: Eukaryota; Metazoa; Chordata; Aves; Apodiformes; Trochilidae.